AACGAACGCUGGCGGCGCGCCUAACACAUGCAAGUCGAACGAGAAGCUGUAGCGAAUACAGUUGUACAGUGGCGAACGGGUGAGGAAUACAUGGGUGACCUACCCUCGAGUGGGGGAAUAACCAGCCGAAAGGUUGGCUAAUACCGCGUACGUUUCCCAGUCCGCGGAUUGGGAAGGAAAGCGAUGCCGUGGGUAUCGCGCUCAAGGUUGGGCUCAUGUCCUAUCAGCUUGGG
Molecule: ribosomal RNA, 233 nt
Filed under: uncultured bacterium
Lineage: Bacteria
Description: partial 16S ribosomal RNA
Rfam family: Bacterial small subunit ribosomal RNA
Source: RNAcentral